UUUAUUUUUAUUUUUUCGUUUAUUUUUUCGUUUUUUCGUUUUUUUUUUAAACACGUGGGCUUCGCCUAGCGAGCAUGACAGGUCAAGAAAUUCCUCUGAGCGUAGGUGAUUCUGGUGGCUUUUCUUGGGACUCGCUAGGCGACCCAUUCUGCUCGCCUAGCGAGCAUGACAGCUCAUGAAUAAACUUUUGCUCCUUCAAGAUUAACGUUUUGACUGACGAAUAGACCCCAUUUGAACCUGUUGGAAGUAUCUCAAGCCAUUCCCUUGUGUUGACUGAUCAUCUAAAU
This 287-nucleotide long non-coding RNA is filed under the name Lathyrus oleraceus (garden pea). RNAcentral's name for it is "Pisum sativum (pea) long non-coding RNA (PSAT_LNC005770)". The record is from RNAcentral. Lineage: Eukaryota; Viridiplantae; Streptophyta; Magnoliopsida; Fabales; Fabaceae.